UUUGAAAUCUGGCUGUCUUCGAUAGUCCGAGUUGUAAUCUAUAGAAGCGUUUUCCGUGCUGAACUGUGUCUAAGUCCCUUGGAACAGGGUAUCAAAGAGGGUGACAAUCCCGUACUUGACACAAUCAUCAGUGCUCUGUGAUACGCUCUCUACGAGUCGAGUUGUUUGGGAAUGCAGCUCAAAAUGGGUGGUAAAUUCCAUCUAAAGCUAAAUAUUGGCGAGAGACCGAUAGCGAACAAGUACCGUGAGGGAAAGAUGAAAAGCACUUUGGAAAGAGAGUUAAACAGUACGUGAAAUUGUUGAAAGGGAAACGAUUGAAGUCAGUCGUGUUCAUUGGAUUCAGCCGGUCUUCGGUGUACUUCCUUUGAACGGGUCAACAUCAGUUUUGCCCGGUGGAUAAAGGCAGUAGGAAUGUGGCCUCUCCGGAGGUGUUAUAGCCUAUUGUCACAUACACUGGGGGAGACUGAGGACUGCAGCUCGCCUUUUGGCCGGGGUUCGCCCACGUUCGAGCUUAGGAUGUUGACAUAAUAGG
Molecule: ribosomal RNA, 532 nt
Filed under: Apiotrichum loubieri
Lineage: Eukaryota; Fungi; Basidiomycota; Tremellomycetes; Trichosporonales; Trichosporonaceae
Description: eukaryotic LSU rRNA
Rfam family: Eukaryotic large subunit ribosomal RNA
Source: RNAcentral